Molecule: non-coding RNA, 92 nt
Organism: Aspergillus flavus AF70
Lineage: Eukaryota; Fungi; Ascomycota; Eurotiomycetes; Eurotiales; Aspergillaceae
Source: Rfam
UAGCAUGAUGCUUCACAACAACAUAUACGCUGGAAAUUACCGACUGAGACCUUCGGGUUGUUGGCGAUAACACUUAUGGCACAUUUCUGAUC